RNAcentral lists this ribosomal RNA (418 nucleotides) under Granulicatella adiacens. RNAcentral's name for it is "bacterial SSU rRNA". It matches the Rfam family "Bacterial small subunit ribosomal RNA", at positions 28 to 435 of the family's 1533-position model. Lineage: Bacteria; Bacillati; Bacillota; Bacilli; Lactobacillales; Carnobacteriaceae. The record is from RNAcentral.
GACGAACGCGGCGGCGUGCCUAAUACAUGCAAGUCGAACGAGAGCGACCGGUGCUUGCACUGGUCAAUCUAGUGGCGAACGGGUGAGUAACACGUGGGUAACCUGCCCAUCAGAGGGGGAUAGCAUUCGGAAACGGAUGCUAAAACCGCAUAGGUCUUCGAACCGCAUGGUUUGAAGAGGAAAAGAGGCGCAAGCUUCUGCUGAUGGAUGGACCCGCGGUGCAUUAGCUAGUUGGUGAGGUAACGGCUCACCAAGGCCGUGAUGCAUAGCCGACCUGAGAGGGUGAUCGGCCACAUUGGGACUGAGACGCGGCCCAAACUCCUACGGGAGGCAGCAGUAGGGAAUCUUCCGCAAUGGACGCAAGUCUGACGGAGCAACGCCGCGUGAGUGAAGAAGGUUUUCGGAUCGUAAAACUCUG